UCUUUGUUAGUGUAUCGGUUAGUAUACGCGCCUGUCAUUUAUUUGAAAUUGUACGCGCGAAAUCUGGGUUCGACUCCCAGACAGAGAG
Molecule: non-coding RNA, 88 nt
Organism: Pholiota conissans
Lineage: Eukaryota; Fungi; Basidiomycota; Agaricomycetes; Agaricales; Strophariaceae
Source: the annotation of a GenBank genome assembly